UUAAAUGCAAUGCAGAGAUGACAGUCAAAGUUCUAUCCCCAAUCUACACCGGUCAAAGCCCAAGUGGAACCAUACUCAUCUAGUAAUUCGGCCCACUGCAUCCGGACCAAUAGGGCAAGAAUAAUCAUAACCCCAUGGAAGAGCCCAUUAAGUCUGGCCCAAUAAGGAAAAGGAACAUGGCCCAACAUUGCCCCCUAGUCUUUUAUUAAACAGAAGGUUUAAUGAAAGAGUAUAAGUGGAAUCAGUCCAGAAUAAAAGGAAUUAUAAUGAGAUCAACAAAGGCCCAAGAUACAACUUACCGAGGCCCAAAAGAGAAGCCCACUCCGGUAAACAAUAAAGACUAAAAUCGCACGCUACUUCUUUAACUUCACAAUCACCGUUGGCAUUAAAUGAGCCACCCCUGAACCUUAUGAAAAGUUG
This 420-nucleotide long non-coding RNA is filed under the name Panax ginseng (ginseng). RNAcentral's name for it is "long non-coding RNA (PGIN_LNC010353)". The record is from RNAcentral. Lineage: Eukaryota; Viridiplantae; Streptophyta; Magnoliopsida; Apiales; Araliaceae.